GCCUUUAUAGUUUAACGGAUAGAAUGCAAGCUUCCGGAGCUUGAGAUGUGGGUUCGAAUCCCGCUAAAGGCA
RNAcentral lists this transfer RNA (72 nucleotides) under Candidatus Roizmanbacteria bacterium RIFCSPHIGHO2_01_FULL_38_41. Its description in RNAcentral is "tRNA-Arg". It matches the Rfam family "tRNA". Rfam says of the family: Transfer RNA (tRNA) molecules are approximately 80 nucleotides in length. Their secondary structure includes four short double-helical elements and three loops (D, anti-codon, and T loops). The record is from RNAcentral. Lineage: Bacteria; Candidatus Roizmaniibacteriota. RNAcentral also lists the same sequence under 4 other names.